This 183-nucleotide ribosomal RNA is filed under the name Triticum aestivum (bread wheat). RNAcentral's name for it is "partial small subunit ribosomal RNA". The record is from RNAcentral. Lineage: Eukaryota; Viridiplantae; Streptophyta; Magnoliopsida; Poales; Poaceae.
AUGCCAAUGCUUAUCGGGAUUGUAGUAGUAUUCACCAUUCACGUGUUUGGACUCUACUAGUGGUACAUGAAUGAUGACCUUGUUAGACCUUUGGUGAUGCUUCCUCCAAAAGAAGUACCACCAUUCUGGCAUACUAUAUUUUUCAUUGCGGUGAAUGGUAUUCUCUUUUCCCACAUAUCAUGA